GCGAGUCCUGGUAUCGCGAUUACCUGAUCGGUUUCGAGGUAGAAUGUUCGGACCUUGCAGCUUUCCACAAACGACGUCUCUUCGAGCCUCUGCACUGCCUGAUUUCCGCCGACGAAACCCUCCGGGAUGUCGGACGGAUCCGUAUCCUUGAGAUCGGAGUCAAGACAGGAGAAAACAUAGCGUUUUAUCCCGAUGACUGCCACUUGGUGGGGGUGGAUUUGAACAAGAGAUUAGCCGACCACCUCUUCCACGAUGAGAACGCCUGGCGUUUCCGACACAUAUUCGUAGAACAGACGAUCGUUGGAGAUGGAAGUCGUCUGGGACAAACCAUACCCUCGGGGAGUGUCGACGCGGUUGUCACAACCAGGACUUUGUGCUCCGUAGAAUCACCCGCGGCUGUUCUUCGUGAAAUUCGACGGGUUCUCGUACAGGGGGGGACGUAUUUUUUUAUGGAA
RNAcentral lists this unclassified non-coding RNA (455 nucleotides) under Athalia rosae (coleseed sawfly). RNAcentral's name for it is "misc RNA ENSAEAG00005004450.1". The record is from RNAcentral. Lineage: Eukaryota; Metazoa; Arthropoda; Insecta; Hymenoptera; Athaliidae.